Molecule: non-coding RNA, 394 nt
Organism: Cyanistes caeruleus (blue tit)
Lineage: Eukaryota; Metazoa; Chordata; Aves; Passeriformes; Paridae
Source: RefSeq, a predicted model, not a curated record
UGGGGAUGUUCCAGAGCCAUCUGGACACAUUCCUGUGCUCUGAAAUGACCCACUAUGGUCCAUUUCAGCCUGAACCAUCCUGGGAUUCUGUGAAACUGAAGCCAGCCAAGGACUGGAGAAGAGUUCCCAUUCCUUUGAAAUUCCAUCACCUUAGUCCUGGCUUGAGGGAUUGCUGGACUGCAACAGUAAUAGGCUGCUCAGCUCUCGGGAUGAGAGGACUCACCGCCUUGGAAUUACAGCUGGGAAAUGCUUUUGGAAAAACAGAAGAUGUGCUGGAGGAAGAUAGUGUUGUCUCUCUGGCCUGGCAGAAAUUGGGAAUUUCAGCCUCUGAUCAAUGACACGAUAUGAGACUGAGACUUGCAGAUAAAGGAAGUGAGUGACUCCUGUCUGAAAG